This 242-nucleotide ribosomal RNA is filed under the name uncultured bacterium. RNAcentral describes it as "partial 16S ribosomal RNA". It matches the Rfam family "Bacterial small subunit ribosomal RNA", at positions 66 to 334 of the family's 1533-position model. The record is from RNAcentral.
ACGCUCGUCUUCGGACGGGAGUGGCAGACGGGUGAGUAACACGUGGGAACGUACCCUUUGGUUCGGAAUAACGCAGGGAAACUUGCGCUAAUACCGGAUACGCCCUUUUGGGGAAAGGUUUACUGCCGAAGGAUCGGCCCGCGUCUGAUUAGCUAGUUGGUGGGGUAACGGCCUACCAAGGCGACGAUCAGUAGCUGGUCUGAGAGGAUGAUCAGCCACACUGGGACUGAGACACGGCCCAG